Molecule: non-coding RNA, 710 nt
Organism: Delphinapterus leucas (beluga whale)
Lineage: Eukaryota; Metazoa; Chordata; Mammalia; Artiodactyla; Monodontidae
Source: RefSeq, a predicted model, not a curated record
CCGCACCCCUGUCUUCACGCACCACCGCUGGGCGGGCAGGAGAGGCCAGCGGUCCGUGGGCAGAAUGAGGAGAGCGGCCUGGUUCCCCGGGAAUGUCGGCCUAGGCCCAGCCCUGGAGAGCGCGACAUCACCACAUCCGGCACUUUCUGCAAGUCUUGGUCAUGAGAGACAAGAAAGACUGAGGAAUACAUUGGAAGAGCCUGACUAAGGAGCCAUGAUGACUAAGUGUAAUGUGGAAUCCUGAAGGAGAUCCUGGGACAGAAAAAGGACAUCACUGGAAAAACCUGGUGAAAUCCAAUGGGUUCUUUCCUGGAUUCUUCGCUAAAUGGUUCAAAUGACUCUUCAAUGAAUUCCUAACUGAAAUCCUGUUCCCAAACGUCACUGAAUUCUCCACCGGUGUGUCUCAAUCUGUGGGCAUUGUUUCAUGCAGAAGACAUUAAAUAAAAGGCAGUUGAGCAAAUACAAGCAAGAGACCGAACAUUUCAGCAAAGUCUACGGGCUCCAAACAGCCUUAGUUUGGAAGGCAAAAAAAUCCUCACAGCUUCCCCUACUGCAGCUUUGAUGACAGAUUCAACGGAAUAAGGCCAAGUGCCAAGGUAAAGCAUGAAAGAACCAUCUCAGUCCAGUCCCUACCUACUUUUCCUAAAUUAUUUCUUACCGAUAUCACUGGUGCACUUGAGGGACCAACCACAUGGAACCACUUAUCAUUC